This 179-nucleotide non-coding RNA is filed under the name Zoogloeaceae bacterium. RNAcentral's name for it is "6S RNA". It matches the Rfam family "6S / SsrS RNA". From Rfam's summary of the family: E. coli 6S RNA was the first non coding RNA to be sequenced, but its function was unknown until recently. It consists of 184 nucleotides that fold into an extended hairpin structure with a large single-stranded internal bulge. Lineage: Bacteria; Pseudomonadati; Pseudomonadota; Betaproteobacteria; Rhodocyclales; Zoogloeaceae. The record is from RNAcentral.
UGUCCCCUGCGGUAUUGGUCAAGACCAUAGAUUCCUUGAACCAAUGCAUGUUGGCAUCAGUUGGCGUCGUAAGUUGAUGUUGUGCGCGGCCCUUGCGGCCGUGCCUGAUUCGGCGAGGCGUCAGCGACUCUGGACCCGCGGUUCAGGAUGCCGGUCUUGACGGUAUUCGCGGGGGCCUC